UCAUGAUGAACGCUAGCUACAGGCUUAACACAUGCAAGUCGAGGGGCAGCAUUUCAGUUUGCUUGCAAACUGGAGAUGGCGACCGGCGCACGGGUGAGUAACACGUAUCCAACCUGCCGAUAACUCGGGGAUAGCCUUUCGAAAGAAAGAUUAAUACCCGAUGGUAUAAUCAGACCGCAUGGUCUUGUUAUUAAAGAAUUUCGGUUAUCGAUGGGGAUGCGUUCCAUUAGGCAGUUGGUGAGGUAACGGCUCACCAAACCUUCGAUGGAUAGGGGUUCUGAGAGGAAGGUCCCCCACAUUGGAACUGAGACACGGUCCAAACUCCUACGGGAGGCAGCAGUGAGGAAUAUUGGUCAAUGGGCGCAGGCCUGAACCAGCCAAGUAGCGUGAAGGAUGACUGCCCUAUGGGUUGUAAACUUCUUUUAUAUGGGAAUAAAGUUUUCCACGUGUGGAAUUUUGUAUGUACCAUAUGAAUAAGGAUCGGCUAACUCCGUGCCAGCAGCCGCGGUAAUACGGAGGAUCCGAGCGUUAUCCGGAUUUAUUGGGUUUAAAGGGAGCGUAGGUGGACAGUUAAGUCAGUUGUGAAAGUUUGCGGCUCAACCGUAAAAUUGCAGUUGAUACUGGCUGUCUUGAGUACAGUAGAGGUGGGCGGAAUUCGUGGUGUAGCGGUGAAAUGCUUAGAUAUCACGAAGAACUCCGAUUGCGAAGGCAGCUCACUGGACUGCAACUGACACUGAUGCUCGAAAGUGUGGGUAUCAAACAGGAUUAGAUACCCUGGUAGUCCACACAGUAAACGAUGAAUACUCGCUGUUUGCGAUAUACAGUAAGCGGCCAAGCGAAAGCAUUAAGUAUUCCACCUGGGGAGUACGCCGGCAACGGUGAAACUCAAAGGAAUUGACGGGGGCCCGCACAAGCGGAGGAACAUGUGGUUUAAUUCGAUGAUACGCGAGGAACCUUACCCGGGCUUAAAUUGCAUUUGAAUAUAUUGGAAACAGUAUAGCCGUAAGGCAAAUGUGAAGGUGCUGCAUGGUUGUCGUCAGCUCGUGCCGUGAGGUGUCGGCUUAAGUGCCAUAACGAGCGCAACCCUUAUCUUUAGUUACUAACAGGUCAUGCUGAGGACUCUAGAGAGACUGCCGUCGUAAGAUGUGAGGAAGGUGGGGAUGACGUCAAAUCAGCACGGUCCUUACGUCCGGGGCUACACACGUGUUACAAUGGGGGGUACAGAAGGCAGCUACCUGGUGACAGGAUGCUAAUCCCAAAAGCCUCUCUCAGUUCGGAUCGAAGUCUGCAACCCGACUUCGUGAAGCUGGAUUCGCUAGUAAUCGCGCAUCAGCCAUGGCGCGGUGAAUACGUUCCCGGGCCUUGUACACACCGCCCGUCAAGCCAUGAAAGCCGGGGGUACCAGAAGUACGUAACCGCAAGGAGCGUCCUAGGGUAAAACUG
This 1443-nucleotide ribosomal RNA is filed under the name uncultured organism. RNAcentral's name for it is "SSU rRNA". It matches the Rfam family "Bacterial small subunit ribosomal RNA". The record is from RNAcentral.